GUAGUCAUGGCCAAGUGGCUAAGGCAAUGGAUUCAAAAUCCAUUUGGGUUUCCCCAUGCAGGUUCAAAUCCUGCUGACCACA
Molecule: non-coding RNA, 82 nt
Organism: Rhincodon typus (whale shark)
Lineage: Eukaryota; Metazoa; Chordata; Chondrichthyes; Orectolobiformes; Rhincodontidae
Source: the annotation of a RefSeq genome assembly